GUUUGAGGUGCUGGCACCUCGCUUCUCCUCCUGCACUCGCUCAGACAUGGUGUGGCAGAUUGUGUGCUGGAAGCUUCUAGAGAAGGUGCUGGAGUGCUGGCUGGAGAGUGGGAUCACUGGGCAGGUGCAGGCUGUCAACAGGCCUGACAGAGGUCCAGGAUCAUGGGGAACCUGGUGUUGAUGGACAAAAAGGCCCGGUUUGUCAUCACCCAACCCCCUCUGGAUUAGCAGCUGUAUGUGAGCCGGGCUCUGCUGCUGUGUGUGGGACGACUGAGUGAUACAGGGCUACAGGAGCUACGCUCGGAUACACCACGGCACAGCAUUGUGUCACACGAUCAGAGCCGUUCACAUUACUUUCUGACCUGUCCACCUCCGGGUUGUGUUAAUUUGAGAAAUGAACAACAACUAAAAUCGUCAAAUUUUGUUAUGGGAAGUGUCCGUGUAGUCCCGUCUUGUUCAAGUCUAUUUUCUCCUGUUUGGUGCGUCAUGAUCACGACCCUUCUAUCCUUUCCUCUGUCAGAACUGCUACAGUUCAUGCUGGGAGAGAUGCAGAGCCACCUGGAUAGCAGCGUAGUGCGUGUUAGGGGCAUGGUGGUGGGCGAGUGUCUCCACUCCUGCAUGGACCUCAAUGGAGCCAAGUUGAAAUUCGAGAUCAGAGAUAGAGGAAGCCACUGUAGACUAUUGAGGUGCACCCCUACAGUAGGCUAUGGCUGCCUUAUUAGGAGUCCUGUGUAGGACACAGGGAAGGGUGUGUGUUCAGUGUUUCUUUCCCUCGGGAUGAGGAGACCAAAGGAGCUGCUCUCAAUGAUGAUCACUGGCUGAUGAAGAAACGGAGCCGCUUGAUGACAGAUUGGGCAGACUGUAGCCGCUCAGGUUGUACCAUCCUAGGCUGCUUCACUGGCCCAAAAAUCAGGAGCUGACCCUGAUUCAGAGCUGGAUAGUGAUGAUUCGCUCAACCCCUACUGACCAGGAGAUGAGCCAAGCCACCCCACCUCGCUACCUCCGAGACCUCUUGAUG
Salvelinus namaycush (lake trout) is the source of this 1018-nucleotide long non-coding RNA. RefSeq lists it as uncharacterized. Lineage: Eukaryota; Metazoa; Chordata; Actinopteri; Salmoniformes; Salmonidae. The transcript has 4 exons. The record is from RefSeq and is a predicted model, not a curated record.